RNAcentral lists this ribosomal RNA (508 nucleotides) under uncultured bacterium. RNAcentral describes it as "bacterial SSU rRNA". It matches the Rfam family "Bacterial small subunit ribosomal RNA", at positions 30 to 523 of the family's 1533-position model. The record is from RNAcentral.
AUUGAACGCUGGCGGCAUGCCUUACACAUGCAAGUCGAACGGCAGCACGGGAGCUUGCUCCUGGUGGCGAGUGGCGAACGGGUGAGUAAUACAUCGGAGCGUACCCUGAAGUGGGGGAUAACGUAGCGAAAGUUACGCUAAUACCGCAUAUUCUGUGAGCAGGAAAGAGGGGGAUCGCAAGACCUCUUGCUUUAGGAGCGGCCGAUGUCGGAUUAGCUAGUUGGUGAGGUAAAGGCUCACCAAGGCGACGAUCCGUAGCGGGUCUGAGAGGAUGAUCCGCCACACUGGGACUGAGACACGGCCCAGACUCCUACGGGAGGCAGCAGUGGGGGAAUUUUGGACAAUGGGCGCAAGCCUGAUCCAGCCAUUCCGCGUGCAGGAUGAAGGCCUUCGGGUUGUAAACUGCUUUUGUUACGGAACGAAAAGGUACCUGGUUAAUAACCUAGUGUGGAUGACGUACCGGAAGGAAGAAGACACCGGCUAACUACGUAGCCAGCAGCCGCGGUAA